Non-coding RNA from Phrynosoma platyrhinos (Desert horned lizard), 72 nucleotides. The record is from the annotation of a GenBank genome assembly. Lineage: Eukaryota; Metazoa; Chordata; Lepidosauria; Squamata; Phrynosomatidae.
GCCAGUGUGGUGUAGUGGUUUGAGUGUUGGACUAUGAUUCUGGAGGUUGGGGUUUGAAUCCCAGCCAUGGAA